This 433-nucleotide ribosomal RNA is filed under the name uncultured bacterium. Its description in RNAcentral is "partial 16S ribosomal RNA". It matches the Rfam family "Bacterial small subunit ribosomal RNA", at positions 29 to 507 of the family's 1533-position model. The record is from RNAcentral.
AACGAACGCUGGCGGCAUGCCUAACACAUGCAAGUCGAACGAGACCUUCGGGUCUAGUGGCGCACGGGUGCGUAACGCGUGGGAACCUGCCCUUAGGUUCGGAAUAACUCCCCGAAGGGGGUGCUAAUACCGGAUAAUGUCUUCGGACCAAAGAUUUAUCGCCUUUGGAUGGGCCCGCGUUGGAUUAGCUAGUUGGUAGGGUAAAAGCCUACCAAGGCGACGAUCCAUAGCUGGUCGGAGAGGAUGAUCAGCCACACUGGGACUGAGACACGGCCCAGACUCCUACGGGAGGCAGCAGUGGGGAAUAUUGGACAAGGGGCGAAAGCCUGAUCCAGCAAUGCCGCGUGAGUGAUGAAGGCCUUAGGGUUGUAAAGCUCUUUUACCCGGGAUGAUAAUGACAGUACCGGGAGAAUAAGCUCCGGCUAACUCCGUG